Molecule: ribosomal RNA, 109 nt
Filed under: uncultured eukaryote
Lineage: Eukaryota
Description: partial small subunit ribosomal RNA
Rfam family: Eukaryotic small subunit ribosomal RNA
Source: RNAcentral
UCGCUCCUACCGAUUGAGUGAUCCGGUGAAUAAUUCGGACCGCAGCAUCGUUCAGCUCCUGAACUUUGCAGUGGGAAGUUUAGUGAACCUUAUCACUUAGAGGAAGGAG